AUGACUGCAUCUCUGAAUGAUUUUAGGGUUAGUAUUGAAGUUAACCCUAAGGAGGAAUGCCAAACCACUAUCUCUGAAAGUGAUAAGGUUGUUGAUGAGAAAAAAAUAGAGAUAGAGAAGGAAAAGAUAAAGAGAGAUGGAGAGGAAGAAGAAACAAAAAAGUUGAGUGAGGGGGAUAAAGAUGAUGAUAAGGAAAAGGCAGUGGUUGAGAGAAAAGAAAAAUGAGAAAAAUGGUGAAAAUAAAGAAGAAAGCAAGAAAAAAUAAAAAGAGAAAGUUGAGAGAAAAAAAGAGAGAGAAAAAAAGGAAGAGAGGAAAGAAGAAAAGAUCAUAUGAAAAGCUCCCUCCUUAUCAAAAGAAAUAUCGUAGGAAAGGAAAGAAAUUUAUGUGCUCUAUGGAGAUCUUCAA
This 406-nucleotide long non-coding RNA is filed under the name Vigna radiata. Its description in RNAcentral is "long non-coding RNA (VRAD_LNC016797)". Lineage: Eukaryota; Viridiplantae; Streptophyta; Magnoliopsida; Fabales; Fabaceae. The record is from RNAcentral.